UACGUAGGCAGCGAGCGUUGUUCGGAGUUACUGGGCGUAAAGGGUGCGUAGGCGGUUGUUUAAGUUUGGUGUGAAAUCUCCCGGCUCAACUGGGAGGGUGCGCCGAAUACUGAAUGACUAGAGUGCGGGAGAGGAUAGUGGAAUUCCUGGUGUAGCGGUGAAAUGCGUAGAUAUCAGGAGGAACACCGGUGGUGUAGACGGCUAUCUGGACUGUAACUGACGCUGAGGCACGAAAGCGUGGGUAGCAAACAGG
This 253-nucleotide ribosomal RNA is filed under the name uncultured bacterium. RNAcentral describes it as "partial 16S ribosomal RNA". It matches the Rfam family "Bacterial small subunit ribosomal RNA", at positions 524 to 776 of the family's 1533-position model. The record is from RNAcentral.